This 254-nucleotide ribosomal RNA is filed under the name uncultured bacterium. Its description in RNAcentral is "partial 16S ribosomal RNA". It matches the Rfam family "Bacterial small subunit ribosomal RNA", at positions 524 to 776 of the family's 1533-position model. The record is from RNAcentral.
UACGUAGGGGGCAAGCGUUGUUCGGAUUUAUUGGGCGUAAAGAGCUCGUAGGCGGUUUGUCGCGUCUGCCGUGAAAGUCCGGGGCUCAACUCCGGAUCUGCGGUGGGUACGGGCAGACUAGAGUGAUGUAGGGGAGACUGGAAUUCCUGGUGUAGCGGUGAAAUGCGCAGAUAUCCGGAGGAACACCGGUGGCGAAGGCGGCUUCCUGGACCGACACUGACGCUGAGGCGCGAAAGCUAGGGGGAGCAAACGGG